UAGAAUGUGGAGUAAAGGAAGCACAAAGAGUUUUGAGUUCUUGGCUAUAGGUUCAAUUCCUAUUAUUCUAG
RNAcentral lists this transfer RNA (71 nucleotides) under Sarcophilus harrisii (Tasmanian devil). It matches the Rfam family "tRNA". From Rfam's summary of the family: Transfer RNA (tRNA) molecules are approximately 80 nucleotides in length. Their secondary structure includes four short double-helical elements and three loops (D, anti-codon, and T loops). The record is from Rfam by way of RNAcentral. Lineage: Eukaryota; Metazoa; Chordata; Mammalia; Dasyuromorphia; Dasyuridae.